RNAcentral lists this long non-coding RNA (323 nucleotides) under Salvia miltiorrhiza (redroot sage). RNAcentral's name for it is "long non-coding RNA (SMIL_LNC009819)". The record is from RNAcentral. Lineage: Eukaryota; Viridiplantae; Streptophyta; Magnoliopsida; Lamiales; Lamiaceae.
UUGACUAGCGUGUGGCGUACCAAGAAUUGAAACCUAGGCUAGCUUUUCUUGCUGUGUGAAAUCGUAAGACUUGCAUUAUCAAGGGUGCGAGAGGGGGAGGGAGAGGGGUUAAUGUGCUGAUUCGGUUUUUGUUCGGAUUUCAUCCGGAAUCCACUGCACCUGUUAUGUUUUUUUUUUUUGGGAGAAUAAAAUGUGUACAAAGUUGAUGUAUUGUGUUGUGUUUGAGCAUUUAAAAUGUGCAUUACGUUUGCCUUUCAAUAUGACGGUGAUAAUUGUGUCUUUAAUUGCAUAUUAUAUAUCACUCUCUCGAUUGAGUCUUGGUA